This is a long non-coding RNA of Polistes dominula (European paper wasp), 1359 nucleotides long. The record is from RefSeq and is a predicted model, not a curated record. Lineage: Eukaryota; Metazoa; Arthropoda; Insecta; Hymenoptera; Vespidae.
AACAAUAACAACAACAACAAAAGGAGGCAACAACUACUUCAUAAAAAGAAGAAAGUAUUAAAAAGAAGAAGUUUAAAAUACGAUUACACGCGUACGAUUAGUUGUCAACAAGAAAAUUAAGAAGAAAUUAGUAAAGAAGAAAGAAGAAGAGGAAGAGUGAAGUCAAACCAAAAUAACGUAUCAAUGUACACAAGUUUAGGCCCAAAAUUGUUAAAAAAAGAAUAUUUAUUAAAGGGAUAAACCACAUUUAAAAAGUAAGGAUAAGAGGAAAUUAGCGACGAACUGAGAGCGGUAACACUUCUUUUUAACGGACGAGAAAGAAAAGCAAGUUAUAGGGGGUGAUUCUUUGGAAAAGAAACGUCGUCUCCGAGGGAGAAAAACUCGAACAACAAGCGCGCGCGCGCCACUUAUACGAAACACUUUUUUCUUUGACCAUUUAUCGGAAGCGAGCAAGAAUUGCUUCUGCCGCAUCUCUUCUAAUACGCCUAACCAAUUCUCAUUAUCCUUGGCGUACUGAAAGACGACGAUAGGAGAAUCCCGAUGAAGGAGGAUAGAAAGAGAGGAGAUCUCGACACGUUGUGCACCGAUCUGUGAUUUUCAUAUAUUCGUAACACCCUCGACACCAGCUCGUCUUCUUCGGUUCGACGCGAAAGACAGAUUGACGAAUGACGCCGUAACCGUGGGCUGGUUGGUGCUCGGAUAUCAAAACACGGAAGAGGACAUCUUUCGCACCGCCACGACAACGUUCAUCGUGCUCCGAAGCGCGACAAAUAGAGACAGGAAGCGCGUGUCCACUGGACCAGGUAUCCUUAGCGAAGGCUUCCACUUUCACGCAGAGGAAAUGAGCUCUCGCUUCUUCCGUUCCUAUACCUACCUAGGGAAAAAUGGUUACAAGGGUGCGUCGCACGACGACGACGCAAACGCACACGCGUGCGCGCACGUGCUACGCGCACUUAUAUACAUACAUGAAAUGCAUGCAUGCUAACUACACACAAGCAUUCUCGUUCUUCCUCUCACCCUUUCUCUCUCACUCUCUUUCUCUCUCUUUCUCGUCGUAGACGCGAAUAAAAAGCGAACGAAAAUAGCCGAUUCGCCCUGAUACGGCUCGAAUUUUUCACUCGACCGGCCAUAUAAAAUUACUUCGCUGCAUUAAACGAACAGACUGACUUUAAAAUAACGCGAGCCUUGUAUAUCGUGUUUCGCGACAGAACGAAGAAAAAGAGAUAAAGAAUGAGAUAGAAAGAGAGAGAGAGAGAGAGAUGUGAAGGGGUGGUGGCAAAAUAGGUUGUUGCUAGAAAGCGUAGCGUGUGUAUUCAGAAAUAAAAAGAAUCAAAUAAUAUUUUAUGUGUUUCUGUUCAA